UCUCCGUUGGUGAACCAGCGGAGGGAUCAUUACAGGACUCGCAAGACUCCUUCACCCUGUGAACCUCACUACAAGCACGUUGCUUCGGCGGGUGUCCCGGCGGGGGUUUGCCCUCGCCGGGGCGCACAGCCCGCCGGAAGCCUACUAUACUCUUUCUCUUUGCGUUGUCAUCUCGAGAAAAAACAAACAAGUUAAAACUUUCAACAACGGAUCUCUUGGUUCUG
RNAcentral lists this unclassified non-coding RNA (224 nucleotides) under plant metagenome. RNAcentral's name for it is "partial contains small subunit ribosomal RNA, internal transcribed spacer 1, and 5.8S ribosomal RNA". The record is from RNAcentral.